RNAcentral lists this non-coding RNA (97 nucleotides) under Rhizobium sp. Its description in RNAcentral is "TPP sequence". It matches the Rfam family "TPP riboswitch aptamer (THI element)". Rfam says of the family: Vitamin B(1) in its active form thiamin pyrophosphate (TPP) is an essential coenzyme that is synthesised by coupling of pyrimidine and thiazole moieties in bacteria. The previously detected thiamin-regulatory element, thi box was extended, resulting in a new, highly conserved RNA secondary structure, the THI element, which is widely distributed in eubacteria and also occurs in some archaea. The record is from RNAcentral. Lineage: Bacteria; Pseudomonadati; Pseudomonadota; Alphaproteobacteria; Hyphomicrobiales; Rhizobiaceae. RNAcentral also lists the same sequence under 1 other name.
AUUGAGAGACAGGGGCGUUCAUCGGAAGAUGGACUGAGAAGCACCCUUCGAACCUGAACCAGAUAAUGCUGGCGGAGGGAGUCGCUCGGGAAGCUUC